AAAACUUUCAAAGGAGCAAGCAAAUUUAUCAUUUUUGAAAGACAGUUUGACGAAAAGCGACGAUUUGACGGAAAAUAUGCGUGGUAUUUUGUCAUCAUUUAACGAACGUUUAAGCAAGCUAGAAGAAAACAUUUUACCUGUGCAUAAAGAAACUGUUGAACUACAACGUCGACAAAGAAAUAUUGACAAAGUUUUACGAGGGUUG
Long non-coding RNA from Xenia sp. Carnegie-2017, 205 nucleotides. RefSeq lists it as uncharacterized. NCBI's taxonomy places the organism in Eukaryota, Metazoa, Cnidaria, Anthozoa, Malacalcyonacea, Xeniidae. The transcript is spliced from 4 exons. The record is from RefSeq and is a predicted model, not a curated record.